CAUUGAGUGAUUGUUAACCGCUACAGAUUUGCAAAUCUUAUAAUAAAGUUGUUGUUUGAAGAAUAUACAGUCUCUCUUCCUUUUGGUUAGAAUUUCCAUGACAAUUCUUGGGAUGGCUAACUCUUCUUGCUGAUCGUUCCCGGGGACACCAAGGUUAAAUGUGCACAGGAGCUACGUUAGACGUGGCUCAGGGAGCCCACACUCCGAUUGAGAGGAGCAUAGGGGACCUGCCUCGGACCCGUCAGUGGACGGAUACGCCAUCCCGAACGUACAGAGUUAAGGGUGAGACUGAUUUUCUUAAACAAUUGGGGAAAGUUCUGGGAAAUCCUGUUCUGGGAACAAGUCACGUGUGUUAGAGAUACCAGGACAGAGUCCUGUUGAAAGCGAUUCCAGGAUAAGAUCCUGAGGUACUAUAAAGAUACCAGGACAGGGUCCUGAUGAAAGUGGUCCAGGACAAGGUACUGAGGUAAUAUGCCAUGGGUUACGAUCGUAAGAUGUAAAUGCAUGAGCUAUGCAAUUCCAGGACAGGGUCCUAAGGUAAAAGUAAGAAAAUAUUCCUGCACAUUGAAAAUAUGUUGUAUAAAAUAAUGUAUUAUUCAGUGGACCGGUAAAACAGUUGGUUAUAAUUGGGAUUUGACUGGCCACUUGUACAAAAUUAUAUGACAAUAUGUGUAGGAUCAUCUACUAUAUGGGUACAAAAUCCAAAAUUAAAUAAAGGAGUUAAACGAUAUUUUACAGAAAAUGAAAAAACUCUUUGAAUUAUAAGAAAGGAAGACGUUCCUAACCAAAUACUGUUUAUUUUGUGUUUGUCUCUGAGUGUGUGUGUAUAGACAGAGUUUCACAAUGGGAGCCAAGAGCAGAAAGGGAGAACCUUGUCUGCCCAACCCACUGACCGGACCACUGAAGGUAAUGGCAGAAAAGUGGGGCAGGGACAUUCUGGAACAGAUACAGCUCUGGCACAAGGUAGCAGGUUUUCCCUUAAAAAGGCACUUUGAUUAAGGCUUUAUUAGCAGAAUGUAGGAAGAAGUUUGAGAAGUUUGAGGAAACCAAGAAAGGAAAGACAUGUUAAAUAGAUUGGGGUAAGUUUAGAGAGUGGGAGAGAGAAGCCGAAAGAAAGUCAGACAAGAAAAUGUAAGAAAUAAUGGUGAAAGAAAGUAAGAAGGAGGAACAGACGGAGGAUGAUAAGAAAAGAAGGAGAAACUUUCCACCUCCCUAUUAUACCCCUGUACCCAAUGCACCAGCAUCCGCCCUGGUUGUCCAACAGCAGGACACUCAGCCACCUCCCCAGCCAAGACUCUACCCCCAGCAGGACCAAAAGACCCAUCAGAGGCAGCCUCAGAGCAGUAGGAACCCGUUCUACACACCGCCUACAAUGACUUCCGUUUCACUGGACGGAUGAUGGACCCUAUCAGGCCCAACUGGCUGCACUGUGUGAUUGAAUAAAGGAACAUUACCCGCCCAUGACAGAUUGGGCAGCCAUCCACAGUUGCACACAGAAAACCAAAGAGUCACUGGAGGACUAGAGGCAUACAUUGGAGAACUGUUUCCGCAAACGCAGUGGCAUCAGACCAGCAACAGACGGUCAUUGAACACUGUAAACACACUGAGAGGCAGCAACUGUCUCAAGAAGAUAAGACGAAACAGAGAAUGGAAAAGGAGGGUGUGAAACUACAAGCAGCACAGCUGGCCUUCUAUCAAGGACAGGGCCAGCAGCGGCAGGCUCAGGGAGGACCUCAAAAUGGUGGACAGAGAGGAAAAGGAAGGGGUAGAGGAAGAGGAGGAAGAGGAAGAGGAAGAGGAGGCAGAGGAGACAGCGCUGACGGAUGGUCCGGACAACAGCAACCACAUGGUAGGAACUUUGCCUGCUAUAACUGCGUAAAGGUGAGACAUUUUGCCAGAACAUGUCGAAACAAACCUACCGAACAGGGGGCAGCAGGGGGACGUUGGAAAACCGGACCACAGCUGAAAAUGACCCUUUACAACCCACAUAGGACUGACGUGAGGUAGAGACAGUUCACCCCCUUGGACAGCAUUUAAGGAUUUUUUCAAGCCCCCGUGAAGAACCAAUGAUUAGUCUCCUCGUCAAUGGACAGCGAGGCUGACGAGGCUGUGAAGGUCUUGGAGCAGCUCACCCAGCAUCCGCCAGAGGACAUUGGUGUAGUCAUCAAAGGUGUGGAGGUAAAGUGAAUGAACUGACUAUAGUGGCAUCUGUUGUGUCAUACUUCUGGGUUUGAUACAGUAUAUGGACUUGACUUGUGCUACCCAAAGACACUCCAUUUCACCUUUGAAGUGUUCCAGAAAAUACUAAUGAAGCUUGAUCAACACAAGAUGUCUCCCAAAGUGCAAAAUCUGUUUUGCAAACUACAAAGCACAGAGUAACAAAAACCAUGUUUAUCUCUUCUUAUGGGCUUUAUUUUGGUUUUAGAAUUGUAGGAUUUUCAGCUCCUCACAGUGCUUGUAAGGUCACUCCGACAAACAAAAAUGAACCAUUAUGGACCCCAACUGUUGAAUAUUCAAUAUAAAUGUAAUGUUUUGUAGCUAUACAUGUUUAAAGUUAGAGAUCAGAUAACCCAGGCUGGCUUUGCAGGUAAUUACUACGGGGCACACGUCACCAAACAGGGAAGUGACUAAUGGACUAUUCCACUAACAAAGACAACAGGGGAUAUAAUUGUCCACAGUCUCCAUUCAUGAGAUAUACCAACUCCCCUCGUAUUAUACCAAUUCUCGUUAAGCAGUUGGAGCAAGAUCUUGAUUGGAAUGGUCAAUUUUUCCCAUUUUAAAUAAUGGUUGAUACGAUCUCCCAUGUUCCCUUCCCACUAAAACUGAGUCUCCCCCCGGUGCCAUUAGAGAACUCGGGUGGAAGCGCCCUGACUCCACCCAUUCACGUGUCUCUGGUACUCCUUUCUUGUCAAAUAUUGUUGAACGUGUCAUAGAACAGAUUAUUGAAUGUUACCACUGGUCUCUACUCACUGUGUUUAAGGUAGCUCCUACAAACUACAGUUUUAUUGAAGUUACAAUAUGACUACCUGGAAAUGUUUUUGGGAUUCCAGGUUUUGUUCAUUCAGGUUGUCAUUAAGGAAAAUGCAAUACCCAACUAGUGUGGACAAAUUGUUUUGUGUACAUUGAAGGAGUUGUCUUUCUUGAGCUUGCACAAUAGUUCAACACAGUGUUUUUGAUCGCUUGAUGAAUCAGUUAUAUCUUCCAAAGUGCAAAAUAUU
This is an RNA transcript of Coregonus clupeaformis (lake whitefish), 3218 nucleotides long. It is a transcript of the gene named U3 small nucleolar RNA-associated protein 25-like, with no coding region annotated. The record is from RefSeq and is a predicted model, not a curated record. The transcript is spliced from 2 exons. NCBI's taxonomy places the organism in Eukaryota, Metazoa, Chordata, Actinopteri, Salmoniformes, Salmonidae.